Molecule: RNA transcript, 5058 nt
Organism: Oreochromis niloticus (Nile tilapia)
Lineage: Eukaryota; Metazoa; Chordata; Actinopteri; Cichliformes; Cichlidae
Gene: ugl
Gene name: ureidoglycolate lyase
Exons: 14
Source: RefSeq, a predicted model, not a curated record
GAACCUUAUGAACAGAGCUACAAACUGAAAGGCUGACAAACCCUGUUUGGUCUUUUUCUGGUCGUACUGCCAUGAACUUUGAUAGCAUGUUAAAUGAGUCUCUUUUUGUUGCUGUUUUUUGGCUUUUGCUGCAAUUCCAUGGAGACAAUUUCUGAUUUUAUAGAGGUUGUCACACUUAACGAUAAUUCAUUCAUCAAUUGGAUUUGAUAAGCAGGACCUGGCUGCUACUUUCAUUACUUUUCAUCAAGCGUUUUUUGAAUUCUUCAAAUGACCGUGCAGCAAAGAACCACCUGGUGCUCCUGCCCCACACAAAUGGGUGACUGUGACUGUGCCACUGUACAAGCAGUCAAAGGUGGACGUGUUGCUGAGGAAGGAGAAUCUACAGAGCCUGAUGAACCAAGAGAUAAAGCACAAACAUGAUAUAGUCUCAACAAAUUAACGUGACAAAGUUUUUUCCUGUGGUCUGGAGUGGAUAAGAGAUCAUUCUGUUCUGACAUUUGCUGUAUCACAGUAUUUGGCCCAGAGACUUUCAUACAGUGUCCCUACAACUGGCAAAAAAUGCCAGGACCUGGUCACCAUCAUUAAACUGCUGCUUCAUUGAAAUAUUUCACCCUGACCUGAAACCUUUCCAGGUUCUGUUUUGAGUGCCUGCCACAUAGUUUGUGCCAGAAACCAUUAACAUGAUCAAAUUCACAGGUAGUUCAUCUGAGACCACUGAUUCUGCAGCACUGCUAAAGGUCCUCAUACCUUUGACCAAAGACCAAAUAAUUAGGGUUAAAUCUUGUACUCUGCCAACAGAAGCCAUCGUAAACCUCGCUUGCAGUCACCUUUCAUUUCUGUGCCACCUUGUGGAGCCCACUUAUGAACCAGAACAUCCCUCAUUCAGACGCUGCACUUCUAACUUCACUAAGCUGCACUCUGUCAAAAAGUACUUAGUAGCAUCAGCACACUGUUUGAAUUAGCUCUUGCUGGGAAACUGAAAAAUGUUCAGGAACAUUUAAAUCUGGUUCUAUACACAAAGACUUUAUGCAGUGUGUUACAAGAAGUGGUUACUCUCAGCCCCCAACCAAGCGCACACCCUGACCAGUGUCCUGAGAAAAGGAUAACACCGAUGCCAAAAUGGAUUCUUUGCUCCUGUCACAAAGUGUUUUUACAGGCUGCCAUGUUAUCUUUACCUUUGAGUGAUACAAAUAUAUCUGACACAAAAGAAUAUUUUUGUGCUUCAGAUCUGACUUAAGCAGGGCCUCCUUCAGAGACCAUGGAAACUGUUCUUGCAGGAAUGUUAAGAGCAGCAGGUUGAACAUUUUUACCUGUAUGAACUAAAGGACAGUCUGCUUUCCAGUAUGAGUUGUCAUGGCAAGUAAUAGCCCUACUGCAGAGCACCAUCUGUUGAAAUUUUUGGUUAAGUCCAUUGUAAACUCAGCAUGUGACUGCUUAUUAGACUUUCUCCAUGAUCUGAAGCGUUGAUGGUAAGCUUCUGGUACCCCAACUACCUCCUAACUUGCCUGCUUUGUUCCAAUAUUGCUGCAAUUCCAGUUUUUCCUUUUUCACCUUAGAUGUCCUUUUGUAUGCCCACCAUGUCUCUUCUCAUUUGUACAGUAAUAGCCUUUCUUGCUGCUUAAAUGACUAGACAACAGACUGACCAAUGCUGUUAACUAGUCUGCAUUUUAACUGUCAACACCACCUUUCUUUAUGCAGAGUUUAACAACUCUUUAAUGUCAUCUUUUUAGCAGUUUAUUUCCAGUAUCGAAGGGACUAAUGAAAUGAGACGCACGUUUCUUAGAUUCAGUCUUGAGCUGAACAUUUUUAGUAGACGACCAGACCUUUUUACCGACUUGGUAGACAGGUGCAGAGACUCUGACUAUCUGUUAGGCGUUUGUUGUGUUCCACUGACCUGAGGAGGGCUGCUUGAAUAGAUCUCCAGAUCCGGCAACAGCGUCAGACAUGAUGUUAAAUGCAAGGAACCUCCAGUAACUGACAGCAGGAGUGUGGGGGGUUGAAAUCCCAGGGACGCUUUGAAUGGUGACAACCCAGCGGCCGAGGAGCUCCUUAACCCUUUAAUGCAUGAAUUACGACAACCUCAAUCAGGAUUAUUUGCUUAAGUAUUUUUAGUCAUCUUUAGCCAUGAGAAAAAGAUUUUGGAACUUCAUUUUUUAAAACAUGUACUUUUCAAAUAGUUUUUUACAUGUCCACUCAGGAGGACAACGUACGGUUUGACUUAUGAAUUUGACAAACGAAUAAAUAAUAUACACUGGUGUGUGUUUAUGUGCAAGUAUAGCAUCAACACUGACACAAAUACAAGAAAACAGCCUUUGAAUAGCCGUCCACUGUAGUGACCACUACGCGUGAAAGGGUUAAACAGAUACCUAACAGGCUUUUUCUAAUUAUAUUUUCUUUUUUAUGUUACAACUCAUUUUAUGAGGAAUGCUCAUACAUCCAUCGUACAAAUACAACUACAAAUAUUACAAACUGGAGUAUCUUUCAGUGUCAGGUAUGGAGCUGUGCCCCUCUCCUUUAGGCCUGGAAAAAGAAUAUGCAACUCUCUUUACCACUGACUCCCUCCACUUCCUGCAUGAACUGAUUUCUACAUUUGAUGAGGAGGUGGACGAGAUUCUACAGCUGAGAGUGUCUAAAAAGGCCCAGCUGGAUCUCACAGGUGAUCUGCCAAGCUUCCUGGAAAGUACCACACAUAUCAGGAGAGACCCAGACUGGAAGGUCCUUCCCGUCCCCUCAAGGCUCCAAAAGAGACAUGUAGAUAUUGGAGACUUGGCACCCUGUGAUACUGAGCGCUUCAUUAAAGCUCUUCUGUCACCAGCACAAGGCAUACAGGUUGACUUUGAUGAUGGAAACUGCCCGACUUAUUACAACCAGAUCAAAGGGAUUUACAAUGUUUUUAAAGCAGUGCAUAACCUGUUCCCCAAUGUUCCACAUAUAUCUCAGGCUCCCGUGCUGAUGCUGCGUCCCCGUGCGUGGAAUAUGGUGGAGCACAACAUGAUGGUGGAGGGGAAAGAAGCUCCUGGCCCUCUCUUUGACUUUGGGCUCCUCAUGUUUCACUGUGGAAAGGCACUGUUUGAACAGAAGAGUGGACCCUUUUUCUACCUGUCAAAAGUGGAGGGCUAUAUGGAGGCCAGGCUUUGGAACAAAAUAUUUGUUUGGACACAGCAGAAGCUGGGUCUUCCUCUGGGCAGCAUCAAGGCCACAGUCCUGAUUGAAAAUGUGUUAGCAGCCUUUGAGAUGGAGGAGAUUCUCUAUGAGCUGCAAGAGCAUUCAGCAGGACUCAACUGUGGUAUCUGGGAUUACUCAGCCUCCUUUGUCAAUAAGUUUGGUCAUCGACCAGCCUUCCUGUUGCCUGACCGCCAUAAAUAUGUGAACAUGGAGAAGCAUUUUCUGCGCAGCUACAUGGAUCUGUUGGUUAAGACAUGUCAUCGGCGAGGAGCAUUGGCCACUGGAGGCAUGGCUGCGCUGCUGCUGCCUGAAGACCCACUCAGUGACGCCUAUAGGAGAGUGUUGGCUUCUGUCACAAGGUUGAAGUUAUUAGAGAUUACUGCAGGUGUGGAUGGUUUCAUGGUAUAUGACCUAAAUUUGGUUGAGCCCAUGCAGAAACUCUUCAAGGGCCACUCUGAAGGAGAUAACCAGCUUGACCAGCUCCGAAAUGACGUGACAGUAUUUCCUGAAGACUUGCUAUCCAUGCCUUCAGGAGGAGUCAUGCUUAAUGGUUUGAAGUAUAACAUUGCAGUUGGUGUGCUCUUUAUUAAUGCUUGGCUAUCAGGUAAAGGCCACUUCUUCUACAAAGGCCAGGUUGAAGAUUCUGCCACAGCAGAGAUUUCUAGAUCGCAGGUGAGUUUUCAAAGCGAACACCACACAGCAUAUAUUGCUGAGAUUCAUGAAGAGCUUGCUCUACACCCACAAGUAAUUACUAUUUAGGAUAUAUUUAAAUGUUUUUGACAAUGUUGUUUGGGAAACAAGCACAUUUCCUUUUUAAAUUUGCUCUAAUAGAUACAUAUUUAACAAAAUGACUAAGAUGCACCCUGUAAUUUGUUUGUUUGUUUGUUUGUUUGUUUGUUUUUGUUUUUCAUUCAGUGUCAUGUGGCAUGCUUCUUUCUCCUUUUGGCUGCAUUUCUUUUAAAGUAUCACUGAAUAGGUUUUGCUUGUGGGUUAAUUACUUCAUGUACAGUCAGUGUUGGGAAGGUUACUUUUAAAAUGUAUUCCACUAAAGAUUACAGAAUACAUGGCACAAAAAGUAGUUUGUAACAUAUUCCAUUAAGUUACUUAAUGUGAGUAACAUAGUCUGAAUACUUUGGAUUACUUGAUAUAUUGUCAUGCCUUUUACAACUACAUGAAUGUACUAUUGCUGUGUGAUUUAUUACUAUUACUGAAGGCUACCCGCAACCAAGCUAACAUUGUUAGCUGAGGUUAGUUCAUCGACUGCAGACUGUUAGACUGGAGUAACAGUAAGGUGGACAUUAGGUAAGGCUGCACAUUUUGCAGUGAUCCCGUAUAGAAAACUGUUUCUGUAUCAGUAAUAUGUUUUCUUUCUGUCUGCUUUCAGAACUGCACAUGAUUAUUUGCAACUAGCAGGUUGUAAUGCAGCGUCCAUAAGCAAUAACCAAGAAAAAAAAAAUUUCAACAAAAAACACUUCUCACUGCUACUAAUCUGCUACCAGCUGUUCUGUAUAUACUGUGGAUACGUAUUUACAAACAUUAUUUAACUGCUGCCUCUGUGUUGGGUGCAGAGAUGCAAAGUGGCUGUCAGCUGGAGAUUAACAGACCGCUGUCCAUCCAAUCAUGCAAUCCACAUCUACCAACUUCCACCCAAUAGAAGUAGAAGCUAACUGUCCAAUCCGCAGUCUCCACCUGUGUCACAGCAUACACAUAGACAUGCACUCGUGCACACCAUGAAAGAGGGGAAACUGCGUGCACCUCCACACACUCGGUGUGGCAGUGGGUCCGUCAUCAGACCCGGCUGGAGGACGAUGGCAGGGUGGUGAGCAGGCAGCUGGUGACUGACCUCAUCAAGGAGCUCAUCAUGGACCUCAGUCCCCACUGUGGCUCUGUUAG